CCUGAUGGCUCAAAUGGUAAAGCGUCUGCCUGCAAUGCAGGAGACCCAGGUUCGAUCCCUAGGUCAGGA
RNAcentral lists this transfer RNA (69 nucleotides) under Ovis aries (sheep). It matches the Rfam family "tRNA". From Rfam's summary of the family: Transfer RNA (tRNA) molecules are approximately 80 nucleotides in length. The record is from Rfam by way of RNAcentral. Lineage: Eukaryota; Metazoa; Chordata; Mammalia; Artiodactyla; Bovidae.